Molecule: small RNA, 113 nt
Filed under: Polaribacter reichenbachii
Lineage: Bacteria; Pseudomonadati; Bacteroidota; Flavobacteriia; Flavobacteriales; Flavobacteriaceae
Description: Flavo-1 RNA
Rfam family: Flavo-1 RNA
Source: Rfam by way of RNAcentral
GUCUAGCCCUGAUUGAAAUGGCAUCCUUUUUAUGUCAGUUCGAGUAAAUUUUGAGGAACGAAAAAUUUGUAUCGAGAACAAAGAAAAAGAUAUAAUGGAAAGCAGGAAAUAGC